This 5439-nucleotide long non-coding RNA is filed under the name Fragaria vesca (wild strawberry). RNAcentral describes it as "long non-coding RNA (FVES_LNC003866)". Lineage: Eukaryota; Viridiplantae; Streptophyta; Magnoliopsida; Rosales; Rosaceae. The record is from RNAcentral.
GGUGAAUUGAAGCAUCUACGGUAUCUUGAUCUCUCCCACACUGGGAUAAGAAGUUUGCCAGACUCGACAACAACUCUGUACAACUUGCAGACAUUGUUAUUGAAAAGUUGUGACCAGUUGAAGGCACUGCCCACAAGCAUGAGGAACCUAGUUAAUUUGCGUCAUCUCAACAAUUCAGGUACACGGUCGUUGAAAGAAAUGCCUCCUCAGCUUGGUCAAUUGACUAACCUCCAAACAUUGCCUGAGUUUGUUAUUGGCAAAGGUAGUGGAUCAGGAGUAAGAGAGAUCGAGUCAUUAUUGCAUCUGCAAGGGACAUUGCACAUCUCAAGACUAGAAAAUGUGAUUUGUGUCGAGGAUGCCAGGAGUGCCAACUUAAAGAGCAAGGAAAGGCUUGAAGCCCUAUUUCUUGAAUGGUCUUCUUCGAGUGUCUCAACAGAAGAUGCAGCAAUUGUGCUUGACAUGUUACAACCUCAUAGCAAGCUCAAAGAGCUCACCAUCAAAGGUUAUGCUGGAUUGAAAUUUUCAACAUGGAUUGGGAAUCCUUCAUUCACUAAAAUGGUGCGGGUAGAGUUAGAAGGUUGUAAUCAUUGUCAAUUCUUGCCACCAUUCGGACAGUUGCCUUGUCUCAAAGAACUUUGUAUACAAGAAAUGGAUGCAGUGGAGAGUGUUGGUGUUGAGUUUUAUGGAAAAGGUAAAUUGUCGUUUCAAGCUUUAGAGACCCUGGAGUUACAUAAUCUGAAAAAUUGGAAGAAGUGGUAUCCUUGCCAACAAAGUGAGGGGGUUGAAGUUUUCUCUUGCCUGAAAAAGCUUUCCAUCGGCGGCUGCCCUAGAUUGGAGGGUGAUUUACCAGAGAAGCUUGAUUCAUUAGCACAGCUUAGGAUAUAUGGAUGUGAGGAAUUGGUGGUUCAGUAUCUAAAUACAAACAGCUUCAUGGAUCAAACAUUGAAAAGUGCAAGAUGGUGGUGUACGACACAAGUACAGUUCAGUUUGAGUUACUAGAGAGUUUGACAUAUUCAAAUGUAUCAGAAUUGAGAUUCCAAACAGAGGCGUUCAUGAAAAGCUUGAAAAAUGUUAAAGAGUUGAAGAUCACUGGUUGUGAGGAGCUUACACGUUGCUUUCAAAAUGAGGAUAGAUUACUGCAACACUUGAUUUCUCUUGGUCGUCUGUAUAUCGAAGACAACUCGAUCCUUGUUGAAAAGCUAGGGAUUGAAGCAGAGCAGUUGGUGCAAUUGCAAAUCCUGGAUUGCAAGAUUGAACGUCUGGAAUUAAGCAAGUGUGGAAGCCUUGUGAAGGUACCAGAAGGAUUGCAUCACCUUAGAUCACUUCAAGAGCUGCACAUAAGUGAAUGUUCAAGUCUUGUUUCUUUUCCGGAUGUUGGUCUGCCACCUUGUCUUCAAGAGCUGCACAUAAGUAAAUGUUCAAGUCUUGUUUCUUUUCCGGAUGUUGGUCUGCCACCUUGUCUCCAAGUCAUAGUGAUUCAUGACUGCGAAUCUCUUUCACACUUGAUGCAGCUCUUGAUCUAAGUCACACCCAGAAUAUUGGAAGAAUGAUCAAAAGUCAUUUCCCACACUCCCAGGUUGGUGGAUUCUGCCAUCUGGUUAUGUACAUUUUACCUAGCUGGAAUCUUCUUCUGACAUGUACCAUCUUCUCCUCCAGUAAUCCAUAAAGUUAGGUUUAGCUAAGAUACAACUUCUUUUCUGUCAUUGUGCAAGUAAAUAAGUAAUACUAUCUGACUUUUACAAAUCUCAAAAAGUUCAGAAAAUGUUUUAGGCAUAGCUGUGAUCUGGCAUAUCCACUGCUCUUUGACUGAUCAUCAUCCCUUGGCUGUUUGUAGAGUCUGGUAUUCUGGAGUUUGUAAUUCAAACCUCAUUCUACAAAAGAGCAGAUUGCAGCAUAACUUAUAAAGAUAAUAUGCGACUUCUACUUACCCAUUUUUCUUGUUUAUCACAUUUUUUUCAGUUCAUUGUGGUUUCACUGAAAGAGGGCAUGUUCAAUAAUGCUAAUGUCCUUUUCCGAACAAAGUUUGUGGAUGGAAUUUCAACUGUUCAAAGGACCGUUGCUAAACAAAACAAGUGAUGCUGGUACAUCUCCAAUCCCUUUACUAAAUGGCCCUUUCUACUGUUUUCUUUCCAUGUUUCCAUGCUCAUUUCAAUUGUAGCUUUGCGUUGAACACAAGUUGCUUCUUUGCUAUCAUAUCAAGUAUAACUUGUUCUGAUUUGUCGAACUUUUCUCUUUUGGUUCAGAUGUUUUACUUUACCAUGGUGAAUGAUCCUUUCCUGUGAGGGCUUAUCUAUCUUCAACGUAUGUAUGAGAAACUUCUUGUUUGUCUACUACAUGUGCUAGUUGGUUAUGCAAUCAAUCUCCAGCUUUCAUUUAGAUACAAGUGCAUAUGUAAAACUGUAUCAACUCUUGAGUAGUUUCAUGGUGGUGGCAUCCCAAUGUUGUGCUUGUUUCGAGCCUUGUGCUCAACCUGCAUAUAUUGUAGAGCGUCGAAUUUGUACGCCAAAUUUUCGAAUAAUUGUUGAAUUUGAAUGAUAUUGCCCAUAAGCCCAUCUCUGUGAAGACUAUCCAAUAAUUAUUCAAAUUCACCAAAAAAAAAAGGUGGUCCAAAUACGUUUUAUUGCCAAAAACGCAUCUUCCAAAAAUCAUUUACUAAACAUGGCCGUCUCCAGUUUAACAGAUGAAAACAUAGAUGCACACAUACAGUAAGUGUCAACGGUUACAGUAGAACACACACUUUUACCAGUUAAAAUGGUAAUUUCGGUGUCGGCAGGGUGAAACCUUUGUGUUCCAUCGCCUUUUCCCGUCAUUCCUGUUGAGUGGCUCACCUUUGUUUCAUCGACUUUUAGGAAAGUGCGAGUGGUUUUCAUAUCUAGACUUUUUGCCAGAGGAGCUUCUAUCCAUUCAUACUUGAACUAUACACACUGCACUGUAUCAUUAUUCAUCUAANNNNNNNNNNNNNNNNNNNNUGAACUAAUUAAACUGGAUCCGCUUACUAAUUUGUGCAGUAUAGCUGGAAUCAGAUCGAUCUGCAACAAGAAAGUCUGUCAUGAUCAUGAUCUCAGAGACUUGGCUCACCUUGUGGAAGAAUUAACGUUGCAAGUGUUUUAGUUGUGAUCUCACAGAAGAAAUAAUCAACUUUUCAUGUAAGUGCAUGUUUUCCGAUCUUGCAAAUUAAGGGAAACAAAUCAGAUUUAACACCCAUUUCAUUGUUUAAAUUAUUUUCUAGCAUGCAUGCAUCAACUAUAAUUGUACCUUAAUUAACUACUAGCUUCACUUUCUGCAGUUUUGAAUACAUCGAUUGUACAAAAAAGAAACGAUGGGGGAGGCUGUUCUUGGUGCAUUCCUCCCGGUGCUGCUUGAGAAGUUGGCGGAUCAAGAGAUCACUGAGUACUUCGGACGCCUUAAGGGGGUCGACAAAAAGGUGCUGGAGAAAUGGACUAGAACGUUGAGGGCCAUUGAAGCGGUGCUGAGUGAUGCUGAGGAGAAGCAACUAACACAAAGAGCAGUAAAAGACUGGCUGGAUGAUCUCAGAGAUUUGUCUUACGAUCUUCAAGAUGUAUUGGACAUAUUUGAUACUAAAAUGCUGAAGCGGAGGAUAGAAAGACAACAAGGAAACAAAAGCAAGUUAUGGAGCUCACUCUCUAAAGUUAAGUCCAAUUUUGGUCUGAACUCAGCAAUCAAGAAGAUAAGUGAUCGACUUGAGGAGAUAACCACUCGAGAGAAGCAGCUUGGUUUGAAGAAACUUGGAGUGUCUAAAAAGCCAUGGAAAAUGCCACCCACUACUUAUCAACUUGAUGGACCUGUGAUCGGAAGGGAUGAAGCAAAGGCUAAGAUUCUCUAUGAUUUGCUUUCAAAACAAGAGAAUUAUCAUGUGGUUGGUAUUGUCGGUACUGGAGGACUAGGAAAGACAACACUUGCUAAACAUGUAUUCAACGAUGCUGCAACUGGCCAGUUUUCCCCAAAAGGAUGGGUAUCUGUGUCAGACGACUUUGACAUUGUAAGGGUGGCAGCAGCCGUUUUGGAAUCAGUCACGUCCUCUCCAGUUCAGGAAUUCAAGGAGCUUAACUCAAUUCUGGAGAAGUUAAGUAAGGAAUUGGCUGGUAAGAAGUUUUUAAUUGUUCUUGAUGAUGUCUGGCACACUUGUAGCUAUAGUCAAUGGACUACACUGCAGGCCUCCUUUCGUGUUGGAGCAGCUGGAAGUAAGAUCAUCGUGACAACACGUGACGCCAAAGUCGCAAAUAUGAUGGGAGAUAGGAGCCCUUAUAACUUGAACCCGAUGUCAGAAGAUGAAUGUUGGAAACUCUUUCAGCACCAUGCACAGUUAAAAAACAGACCUGAAGAUGUUGAGUUCCUUAAAGAGAAAAUUGUAGAAAAAUGCAAUGGGUUACCGUUAGUUGCAAGGACUCUUGGUGGGCUUUUACGUUGUAAAGAAGUAGACGAAUGGGAAGACUUAUUAGACCACAAGAUGAGGACUCUAUCAGAUCAGAACAAGAAGGAAAUCCUUCCAGCAUUGAAACUGAGCUAUCAUUAUCUCCCUUCGACUUUGAAACGGUGUUUCUCCUACUGUGGAAUACUUCCAAAUGAUUAUGAAUUUGAGGAGAUGCAAUUGAUCCUUUGGUGGAUGGCAGAAGGUUUGAUUCCGCCCAAAGAACAUGAGCAAAUGGAAGAUUUGGGUCGUGACUAUUUUCAAGAGUUGGUGUCUAGAUCAUUGUUUCAAAAAUCAAGCAAAACAGAGUCGCGGUACAUAAUGCAUGACCUCGUUACUGAUUUGGCACGUUGGGCUGCAGGAAGUUCAUGUUGUAGAUUGGAGGACAUGCAGAAUUAUGACUCGCAGCAACAUACAUGUUUGCCCAAGGUUCGUCAUUCGUCUUACAUUCUUGGAAAGUAUGAUGGGGUUAAGAAGUUCGAGGUCUAUUCUGAAGCUACAUCUUUGCGAACGUUCUUACCACUUUCACCUUCAUAUUAUGUUCAUUAUCUGGCUCCGAAGGUUACUUCUGAUUUAUUUCCCAAACUCCAAUACUUACGACUCCUCUCUUUGAAAAGUUAUCGAAUAACCGAGUUGCCAGAUACAAUUGGUGAAUUGAAGCAUCUACGGUAUCUUGAUCUCUCCCACACUGGGAUAAGAAGUUUGCCAGACUCGACAACAACUCUGUACAACUUGCAGACAUUGUUAUUGAAACGUUGUCACGAGUUGAAGGCACUGCCCACAAGCAUGAGGAACCUAGUUAAUUUGCGUCAUCUCAACAAUUCAUUUACACGGUCAUUGGAAGAAAUGCCUCCUCAGCUUGGUCAAUUGACUAACCUCCAAACAUUGCCUGAGUUUGUUAUUGGCAAAGGUAGUGGAUCAGGAGUAAGAGAGAUCGAGUCAUUAUUGCAUCUGCAAGGGACAUUGCACAUCUCAAGACUAGAAAAUGUGAUUCGUGUCGAGGAUGCCAG